This 355-nucleotide unclassified non-coding RNA is filed under the name soil metagenome. Its description in RNAcentral is "partial contains 5.8S ribosomal RNA, internal transcribed spacer 2, and large subunit ribosomal RNA". The stretch from base 1 to 120 matches the Rfam family "5.8S ribosomal RNA", at positions 35 to 154 of the family's 154-position model. The record is from RNAcentral.
GAUGAAGAACGCAGCGAAAUGCGAUAAGUAAUGUGAAUUGCAGAAUUCAGUGAAUCAUCGAAUCUUUGAACGCACAUUGCGCCCAUUAGUAUUCUAGUGGGCAUGCCUGUUCGAGCGUCAUUAAGUCCACUUAAGCCCUGCUUAGUGUUGGGAGACUGCUCCAGCGGUGCUACCCUGUAGCUACCCUGCAGCUCCUCAAAGAUAGCGGCGGAGUUGUGGUAUCCUCUGAGCUUAGUAACUUGUUCUAGCUUUCGAGUACACCACUUCCCCUGCCGUAAAACCCUUAAUUUUUAAUGGUUGACCUCGGAUCAGGUAGGAAUACCCGCUGAACUUAAGCAUAUCAAUAAGCGGAGGA